UUGAAAGAGCCCGGUGACAGGUGCUGCAUGGCUGUCGUCAGCUCGUGUCGUGAGAUGUUGGGUUAAGUCCCGCAACGAGCGCAACCCUCGCCUUUAGUUGCCAGCAUUCAGUUGGGCACUCUAAAGGGACUGCCGGUGGUCAAACCGGAGGAAGGUGGGGAUGACGUCAAGUCCUCAUGGCCUUUAUGUCUAGGGCUACACACGUACUACAAUGGCAGGUACAAAGGGCAGCGACACAGCGAUGUGAUGCGAAUCCCGAAAAGCCUGUCUCAGUCCGGAUCGGAGUCUGCAACUCGACUCCGUGAAGUUGGAAUCGCUAGUAAUCGUGGAUCAGCAUGCCACGGUGAAUACGUUCCCGGGCCUU
RNAcentral lists this ribosomal RNA (364 nucleotides) under uncultured Desulfovibrio sp. Its description in RNAcentral is "bacterial SSU rRNA". It matches the Rfam family "Bacterial small subunit ribosomal RNA", at positions 1018 to 1382 of the family's 1533-position model. The record is from RNAcentral. Lineage: Bacteria; Pseudomonadati; Thermodesulfobacteriota; Desulfovibrionia; Desulfovibrionales; Desulfovibrionaceae.